Candidatus Tachikawaea gelatinosa is the source of this 83-nucleotide transfer RNA. It matches the Rfam family "tRNA". From Rfam's summary of the family: Transfer RNA (tRNA) molecules are approximately 80 nucleotides in length. Their secondary structure includes four short double-helical elements and three loops (D, anti-codon, and T loops). The record is from Rfam. NCBI's taxonomy places the organism in Bacteria, Pseudomonadati, Pseudomonadota, Gammaproteobacteria, Enterobacterales, Enterobacteriaceae.
GGUGGGGUUCCCGAGCGGCCAAAGGGGGCAGACUGUAAAUCUGUUGUCAUAUGACUUCGAAGGUUCAAAUCCUUCUCCCACCA